UUGUGGAGGAGGACGCCGAAGGUGGGGCUAAUGACUGGGGUGAAGUCGUAACAAGGUAGCCGUACCGGAAGGUGCGGCUGGAUCACCUCCUAACAGGGAGACAACAAAAUGUUUAAUAUUAUUUUGUCACCUUAGGUCGAUCGGUAUCUCACGUUCUUAAUUAAUUAAGAAUUUCAUUUCCUAAGUUUUUCUAGGUCACACCCAUUAUUUUUCCUGGGCCAUUAGCUCAGGUGGUUAGAGCGCACCCCUGAUAAGGGUGAGGUCCCUGGUUCAAGUCCAGGAUGGCCCAUAUCUCUAUGUUGGGGGUAUAGCUCAGUUGGUAGAGCGCCUGCUUUGCAAGCAGGAUGUCAGCGGUUCGAGUCCGCUUACCUCCACUGAUUACCACCUCUUCCAUAAUCUGUAGAAAGGAAACGUUUUGAGUUGUGAUCAAAUUCUGAACGAAUCUAGCUUCCUAAUGAAAUCAUUAAGAUGCUGGACUCAUUGAAUUAAUUUCAUUGUUUUCAGAGAACCUUGACAACUGCAUAGAUUAUUUUUAAAGACAAUAAGCAUCUUUAAUGAUGCAGAUUUAUUAUUUUUGCGAAUGCAUUAAUAACAAUUCUAUUAAGCUGAUGCUUCAAUUAUGAAGUUAUUGGUCAAGCUACAA
RNAcentral lists this unclassified non-coding RNA (643 nucleotides) under uncultured Prochlorococcus sp. Its description in RNAcentral is "partial 16S-23S ribosomal RNA intergenic spacer; may also contain 16S ribosomal RNA and 23S ribosomal RNA". The stretch from base 302 to 374 matches the Rfam family "tRNA". The record is from RNAcentral. Lineage: Bacteria; Bacillati; Cyanobacteriota; Cyanophyceae; Synechococcales; Prochlorococcaceae.